AUAACUACUGGAAACGGUAGCUAAUACCGCAUAACGUCGCAAGACCAAGAGGGGGACCUUCGGGCCUCUCGCCAUCAGAUGUGCCCAGAUGGGAUUAGCUAGUAGGUGGGGUAACGGCUCACCUAGGCGACGAUCCCUAGCUGGUCUGAGAGGGUGACCAGCCACACUGGAACUGAGACACGGUCCAGACUCCUACGGGAGGCAGCAGUGGGGAAUAUUGCACAAUGG
Molecule: ribosomal RNA, 228 nt
Filed under: uncultured Enterobacter sp.
Lineage: Bacteria; Pseudomonadati; Pseudomonadota; Gammaproteobacteria; Enterobacterales; Enterobacteriaceae
Description: partial 16S ribosomal RNA
Rfam family: Bacterial small subunit ribosomal RNA
Source: RNAcentral